UCUUGGAUGUAGUAAGUCAGAUGUUUUUAGUUGUUUCCAUGUCAGAUGUCAGUUUUUCCUUGUGACUCCUUGUUUUCACCUUUUUGGGGGACAUUUUCAUUGGACAGAUGACCACUCGCGACAGCUGAUCCGGUGGAGAGCCCGUAACGGCAAUAUGUUCACCGGACAGCGGAACGCCCCGUCCUCGCCCUGAAGAAGAGGUGGGAGAAUAUGAAGCAGAAGUACAAAGUGCUGAGGACCCUGAAAACAGGGGUCAGUACAGAGGGAGGGGAGAUGACAGCUGCUUCCUGAAAGUGGUACAGUUUAAUGGAUGAGGCGCUUGGGGCCACAUCAUCACACCGCUGGCCCUGACGUCUUCAUCAUCCCAGGGAGCAGCUGUCAUGUCCUCUCCCUCUGAAGAGUGAGCUGCUGCCUUAGCCUCCACCUCAGCCUCCACCUCAGCCUCCACCUCUGCCUCCACCUCAGCCUCCACCCCAGCCUCCAACUUUGCCUCCACCUCCUCUCCUGCCACUGGCUCUCCUCCCAGACCCAGCACCUCCUCUCUUUCCUCCUUCUCCCACUCCUCCACCUCCUCUCCACCUGCCAAAAGACGCAGGAGACCACCACCGUGGAUGAGACUGUUUGAGCAGCUGGAGAGGAGGGACGAGGAAAGUAGGGAUAGGGAUGAGCGCUUUGCGUGAGGAGCGGCUGCCCGUGAGGAGCGGCUGCCCGUGAGGAGCGGCUGCCCGUGAGGAGCGCUUUUUAAAUAUUUUGUCGAGAUUUCUGAAAUAAUGUUUAUGUUAGCAAGUUUGUUUGUUUGUUAUUUUUGCAUUUAAAGCCAUUUUGUUUAAAUUAUUCAUCCAGUGAUACUGCAGAAUUUAUUUUGUCAUUUCUUAAAUAAAUAAUUUAUUUUGUGCACAUUG
Labrus bergylta (ballan wrasse) is the source of this 902-nucleotide non-coding RNA. Lineage: Eukaryota; Metazoa; Chordata; Actinopteri; Labriformes; Labridae. The record is from RefSeq and is a predicted model, not a curated record.